Canis lupus familiaris (dog) is the source of this 955-nucleotide long non-coding RNA. RefSeq lists it as uncharacterized. The record is from RefSeq and is a predicted model, not a curated record. NCBI's taxonomy places the organism in Eukaryota, Metazoa, Chordata, Mammalia, Carnivora, Canidae. The transcript is spliced from 3 exons.
CUUUGAACACAUGGGCUUAUAGUUUUAUACUGUGUGGUCACAGCCAUCCAUGGUGCUUCUAGAACAGUAUGAGAAUGGCUUUCAUGUUAACCACUCGUGAGUCAAAUAAUGUCUUAUGUGCAGGAAAUAUAAUGCUUUACUAUGUCCUUGGUGAGAUCCAACCUUACAAUUUGUAAAUAGGCCCGACAUGGCUAUUAUAUGAUUACGAGUCAAUUUCAAGGAUUGAUUUUAGAGAUGGAUUUAGUAAUAUCUGUGACAUUUGUGGAACAUGGGGCAUGUUAAGGAAGACGUUGAACAUUUGGGACAGACUUCUGCUAAAGGCAUAAGGAAGGCACAGAAUCAUGGACAUGGAAGCUGAGAGUCUGCCUAAUGAACUUAAGGCUGCAGAAUGAUGUCUUCUCUCUCUUUGAAUAAGAGCAAAGAAAAUACCUUCCAAGUAAGGACUCCUAGAUUUUGGAGUUUGCAUCCAUCCUGCAUUCAUCACAUUUAUUUUACAUCUGACCCCAACUGUUUGCCUAAAUUAGAUUGAAAAUUAAGGAGCAAAGGAUGCCCGCAGCAAAGGAAUUGCACAUUUUUGGAAGUUUGAGCAAAACAGCAGAUGAAACAUCAGCUGGGCAUCGUGAGCUCGGACUCAUUAAAGCAGGCUGGGAGUCACUAAGAGAAAUAGGCCUAACCUGUGCAACAACAGUGAGGACUUAAUUUGUGAGGUAGGUACAACGUAAAAGUAAGGUGUUUUAUAUUUCAUUUCAUCUCACUACUACUAGGAAUUAGCCACUCAGCGUUUGGUAUUUUUAUGCCACUUGAGUCUAAUCUUCCUGUAUUCUUUUCUUUGUUCCCUUCUUUGAAAAGUCAGUGAACAAACAACAACCAUGACCACAAAAUGUUAGAUCAUUUGGUGUAUGAUGUCCUGGGCUCUGGCAUUUUUAAAACUUAGAUGUGUAUUGUAUUUUUAUUU